CACCAGGGUGGGAAACAGACACUUGCAAUAUCCUUCCUUCAUUUGCUCUUAAUUUUUGUUAUAUAAAUUCUAUAUAUUCUGGAAUAGAGGCUCUGAACUGCUGAACUCAGACUGAAGUCAACGCUACUAACGAGCUCAUUUAUAUUAAUAGGAGAUCAACUGUUCCUUUUUGCUGGAUUCCCAGCAGAACAGCUGAUGGUCUGCUUUUUCCAUGUUGGCUUUCUACUCCAACUGAAAUGCCUCAAAAAUAUUGGUUUGCUAGAAAAUUUUAGUGGAUGCCAGUACUGCUGAUGUGAAAAACAAGAGAAUAGGGAAAACCACAGAUUCUUCUGGUCAAUUAGAUCUUUGGAAAGUGGUCUAAUCUUUUGCAUAUGAUUAGUCAGCUUGUAAUAGCUGCCUUCCAACAAAUAGCCUCAUGGUUUUUGAUGACUAAUCCUGAAAAAAAAAGGAGAGAGUUAGAGCUAUGGUUACGUUAUUUGCCAUGAGCUUGUAUUUAAGAGUUCAGAUGCUGUUGAUAUAGCAUAUCAGCCUAAGACUCCUUUUCCUUUCCUGGCCUAACUGGUGAGCAUCAGCUCUUUGGAGAUGAUGGAUAAGAAAAGCUACAUUGGACAACUUAUGGGCAAAUCUAUCUGUGGGGAAUUAAUCAUUUUUGUCUUAUACCACUAGAAAAGUGCUUAUAUACUUUCUAUAUCUUUGUUUCUUACCUGUGAUUUUCUUUUCCAUUUGCUUGCCUCUUUACACUCUCCAGAGCUCCAGGGACAUCCAGACCUUCCCAUUAACAGGGAGGGCAGCACAUGGCUGGUCUGAGACCAAGAGCAGCGUUGCCCCAGACACAGAACAGGCCCCAGGGCUACCCAGGGCAGUGCGUGGAUCCUAACAGCAAGCAGAUUGCAUAUUUGCAUAAUGAUGCAAAUGAGUGAUCUGAUCGCAGCAGGAGAGGCAUGUCUUGGCAGGCCCUCAUUACCAUUGUACAUUACAAUGUUGGAAAUCAGCCAGGAAGGUUUGGGAAGAGGUCAUCCUCCCAUCAUAUACCUUGAGAGAGAUGAACUCUUGUGGGGUUUGCUUUCUGUGGAGCUGGCUGUGAGGGAAACCCACAACCUUGGUGCCAUCACCUUCCUCCAUGGCUCAGCUGAGUGCAUGGUGUGAACCACACUGUGUUGGCUGCGCUGGGGUCCCUGCAAUGAGUGGCAGCAGUUUCUGUACAGCCACACAGGCACUCAGAUUUACCAGAGGUUUGGAAGGUAAGUGCACGUUUGUGUAGCACUGGAGAUGUUUGACAAACUCUGCCUCAGACUCCUGCACUAUGGGGACUUAAUUUCUUAAGGCAUUUUUGGCUUUGCUAGUCUCUCAUGUUUCAGAAAAUAAUGUAUCCAAUUUAUUGAAUCAUCUGGCUAUUAAAUCUGCCUGUAAAGAGGAGUAAAACUAGACCAUGAACAUCUAUGGGAAUUCAUUUUUGUUAAAUAAUUUAAAUUUACACUUUCUCCUGCCUGGAUCAAUCUCAUCUGAAUGUCCCCUAGCGUUCUUCUCUCUACCGUUUGGAAGAAUGCUAGAAGCUAAAUCACUGUGCAGUUCAUUUUUAGACUAAUUAUCAUCAAGGCAUGAAAGCAGCAUUUUACAUUACAUUGUUUUUUCAGUUCAGCAGAUAGACCCAUUCAUUUUAGCUUCUAUUAUUGUUAACCACAUAUCUGCCAACACUACCAAAUGCCACUGGAUACAGCAAAGUGUAAGCCUACCUUUAGAUGAGACUUGUGGGUUCUUUGUUUAAUUAUAUAGGGAUUAAUUGGCGUGAUGCAAAGUUGUGCAAAUUUGCUCUUCAUUUCCGAAGCUAAGGUUGAUGCUCAGUGCUUGUGUUCCUAACCAGAAACCACAAACUUCCACUGCUGUGACACAUUAGUCUCAGCUUCUGCUUGGCUGGUUGCUGAUGAUACUCUGGGGCAAAUUUACCUCUAAAUGCUCCUGCCUGCUGAAUAAUAAUGAUGUCGCAUUUCUUAGUAGCUCAGUUUCUUUACAGAAAGUGGGAAGGAAGGUAAGGAAGCAGAAAGAGAUAGAAUGGAAGAACUUCUCCAUAUUUCAUAAGCAAAGAUUUUCCUACAAAAACCUGUAAAAUAUUUAAAUUCUUACUGACUUUUCUGAAAUGAACAAAAUAUAUUGAACAAAAUAU
Molecule: long non-coding RNA, 2161 nt
Organism: Gallus gallus (chicken)
Lineage: Eukaryota; Metazoa; Chordata; Aves; Galliformes; Phasianidae
Source: Ensembl